UGGGGAAUUUUGGACAAUGGGCGCAAGCCUGAUCCAGCCAUGCCGCGUGCGGGAAGAAGGCCUUCGGGUUGUAAACCGCUUUUGUCAGGGAAGAAAUCUUCUGAGUUAAUACCUCGGGGAGGAUGACGGUACCUGAAGAAUAAGCACCGGCUAACUACGUGCCAGCAGCCGCGGUAAUACGUAGGGUGCAAGCGUUAAUCGGAAUUACUGGGCGUAAAGCGUGCGCAGGCGGUUUUGUAAGACAGAGGUGAAAUCCCCGGGCUCAACCUGGGAACUGCCUUUGUGACUGCAAGGCUUGAGUGCGGCAGAGGGGGGAUGGAAUUCCGCGUGUAGCAGUGAAAUGCGUAGAUAUGCGGAGGAACACCGAUGGCGAAGGCAAUCCCCUGGGCCUGCACUGACGCUCAUGCACGAAAGCGUGGGGAGCAAACAGGAUUAGGUACCCCUGGGUAGUCCACGCCCUAAACGAUGUCAACUGGUUGUU
This 481-nucleotide ribosomal RNA is filed under the name uncultured bacterium. Its description in RNAcentral is "partial 16S ribosomal RNA". It matches the Rfam family "Bacterial small subunit ribosomal RNA", at positions 355 to 824 of the family's 1533-position model. The record is from RNAcentral.